This 78-nucleotide transfer RNA is filed under the name Hydrogenophaga sp. Its description in RNAcentral is "tRNA-Leu". It matches the Rfam family "tRNA". From Rfam's summary of the family: Transfer RNA (tRNA) molecules are approximately 80 nucleotides in length. Their secondary structure includes four short double-helical elements and three loops (D, anti-codon, and T loops). Further hydrogen bonds mediate the characteristic L-shaped molecular structure. tRNAs have two regions of fundamental functional importance: the anti-codon, which is responsible for specific mRNA codon recognition, and the 3' end, to which the tRNAs corresponding amino acid is attached (by aminoacyl-tRNA synthetases). tRNAs cope with the degeneracy of the genetic code in two manners: having more than one tRNA (with a specific anti-codon) for a particular amino acid; and 'wobble' base-pairing, i.e. permitting non-standard base-pairing at the 3rd anti-codon position. The record is from RNAcentral. Lineage: Bacteria; Pseudomonadati; Pseudomonadota; Betaproteobacteria; Burkholderiales; Comamonadaceae.
GCGCGAAUGGCGGAAUUGGCAGACGCGGCCGGCUCAAACCCGGUCUACCUAAGGGUUCGAGUCCCUUUUCGCGCACCA